GACGAACGCUGGCGGCGUGCUUAACACAUGCAAGUCGAACGGACAGGCCUCUUUCGGGGGGUACUCGAGUGGCCAACGGGUGGGUAACACGUGAGUAACCUGCCCUUGACUUUGGCAUAACUUCAGGAAACUGGCGCUAAUACCGGCUAGGAGCUCCUGCUGCCUGGUGGGGGCUGGAAAGUUUCGGCGGUUGGGGAUGGAUUCGCGGCUUAUCAGCUUGUUGGUGGGGUAGUGGCUUACCAAGGCUUUGCCGUGUAGCCGGCCAGAGGGGGUGACCGGCCACAUUGGGACCGAGAUGCGGCCCAGACUCCUACGCGACGCAGCAGUGGGGAAUAUUGCACAAUGGGUGGAGGCCUGAUGCAGCAACGCCGUGUGCGGGAUGACGCCGUUCGGGUUGUAAACCGCUUGCGCUCAUGACGAAGCAUGGUGUGACGGUAGUGGAUAAAGAGGCACCGGCUAACUACGUG
This 467-nucleotide ribosomal RNA is filed under the name uncultured bacterium. Its description in RNAcentral is "partial 16S ribosomal RNA". It matches the Rfam family "Bacterial small subunit ribosomal RNA", at positions 28 to 507 of the family's 1533-position model. The record is from RNAcentral.